CGGAAUCUUCUGCUGAAAAUGGCAAACUGGUAGAGUGCCAGAAGAGGCCAUAUAACAUAUCUCAGUAUUUGGUAACAUUAAAUGGAUUUCACUGAUAUAAUCAAAUUUCUAAACAUGAAGCCGGGAAAUCAUGUCACAUGAGGAAUGGUUGAAACAACCAUGAGUACUGAACCUGAAGAAGCAAGGACUACUGGGUAGACUCUACACCUGUCUUGAAAGAUACAGGGAAGCAAAUUUCAGCUUAACGUAAGGAAGCACUUUCCAAUAACGAAGGUUGUUCAAAAACAAACUGAGCUGUUUCAAGAGCAACGGGCAUCCUGUCACAGGAAUAUGUGGAGCUGGGUUUUGCAAUAAGUUAAAUUCUGGAUGAAAGCUUGCCCUGGAUCAGUGGUUCUUGGACUUUGGGGUUUCAAGGACCAGUAACACUGAAAAAAUGCAUCAGGUCCCUAAAGUAUUGCUAUCUUUUUAUUACCUAAGGUCAUAAAAAAAGGU
This 492-nucleotide long non-coding RNA is filed under the name Homo sapiens (human). Its description in RNAcentral is "HSALNT0213544". Lineage: Eukaryota; Metazoa; Chordata; Mammalia; Primates; Hominidae. The record is from RNAcentral.